UGGGGAAUAUUGCACAAUGGAGGGAACUCUGAUGCAGCGACGCCGCGUGAACGAUGAAGGUUUUCGAAUCGUAAAGCUCUGUCCUAUGGGAAGAUAAUGACGGUACCAUGGGAGGAAGCCCCGGCUAACUACGUGCCAGCAGCCGCGGUAAUACGUAGGGGGCGAGCGUUGUCCGGAAUUACUGGGCGUAAAGGGUUCGCAGGCGGCAUGGCAAGUCCGAUGUAAAAGGCGAAGGCUCAACCUUCGUAAGCAUCGGAAACUGUCAAGCUUGAGUGAAGGAGAGGCAAGUGGAAUUCCUAGUGUAGCGGUGGAAUGCGUAGAUAUUAGGAGGAAUACCGGUGGCGAAGGCGACUUGCUGGACUUCAACUGACGCUGAGGAACGAAAGCGUGGGUAGCAAACAGG
This 403-nucleotide ribosomal RNA is filed under the name Fusobacteriota bacterium. Its description in RNAcentral is "Fusobacteria bacterium partial 16S ribosomal RNA". It matches the Rfam family "Bacterial small subunit ribosomal RNA", at positions 355 to 776 of the family's 1533-position model. The record is from RNAcentral. Lineage: Bacteria; Fusobacteriati; Fusobacteriota.